Brassica oleracea var. oleracea is the source of this 1665-nucleotide long non-coding RNA. RefSeq lists it as uncharacterized. The transcript is spliced from 3 exons. Lineage: Eukaryota; Viridiplantae; Streptophyta; Magnoliopsida; Brassicales; Brassicaceae. The record is from RefSeq and is a predicted model, not a curated record.
AUCUUAUGUAUACUUCUCAAAAACCGAAUCGACAUCUCCUUUAGAUCUAGUAGUCAUCAUGAAUUUCAUCAAUUUAAAUGUUUCAGACGUUCUUAAUUCUCAUCUCUUUGUUGUAACGAUGAUUCAUGUCAUUUAUAUUAUUUGGAUCGUGUAUUUGUAUUUACCCUUCAAAUCAUUCUCUUUCUCUCUGUAAUCUCAGGAUAUGAUUUAUGGGAUGGAAUUCAGUGAUUCCUUUGAGUGUCUCCACCAUUCCAAAGAGGUUAUGGUGCAAGCCACUGUUUUCGGAUUUAAGAAAACGCGAGACCAGACUGAUGAAUCAUGUCUAGAUCAGAGACCAGAAUGAUGAAUCAUGUAUAGAUCACGGGAAAACCUGGGAGAGCCGGAGAGGUCAAGGUUCACGUUGGUUAUGUGGCUCAUAUCUCUUCUCUUUCUGAUUCUAUACACACAGAAGGUGUUAUUGUUGAGACUGAGACCACGCUAUAUGACUCUAAAUUAAUUUGAGGUUAGGUCUUUGGAGAAACGUGUUACACUGUUCCAGGAAGAAAGAGCAAACAGAAGGGACUCAUCAUCAUCCACGAAACAAUCCUACAAAUAUGUUUAACCAUGAGAUCAAGCAAAGACGAUAUGCAAUCAGAUUAUUGAUUUAGGUUUUAGGGGUUUUAAUAGACCUGCAAAGAUGUUUAUGUUUCUUAAUGUUUGGUUGCUCUUAUGGUGCAUGUAGAUUUGAACAGAGUAGGAGUUCCUUUUCUCGAGAUCGAAUCUUAACUUGAUAUGAGAAGUGGGAUUGGAGCCACUGAAUACACCAGUGAGAUGCAAUGGAUUGUGAGAGAGUAAUGGGAAUAUCCAAGAAGGCCCUCUCCACUGCGAUGCUAACAUCUCAAUCCGUCCAAUUGUGCAAGAUAAGUUUGGCACAAAAGUCAACAAGUUUCUUUCUUUCUUUGUCGUUUUAUUAUUCUGAGUAUAGCCAGUGAAGAGAUAUGAUCAACUCAUUCUAUUUUCAUUCGACUAUAUCUGGUUGAUGAUUCAAAUUUUUGUUGGUUCAUAGGUGGAAAUUAAGAGUUUGAGUGCGUAUCAGUUAUUAACAAGGAAGUCGACUAUGUGGUAUCAAGACAAGAACUUCUCUGCAACCAGGGCCAAGCCGACCAUAUUUUAAUGAGACAAGCGUACCAAGUUUAGUAUCUACAGAGCAAGAAUCGCCAACAAACAACAUAUGCUGUUAAAUCAUUAUAUUCAAAGAGAUGGUCCGAGUUAGCUUAUGAGUUGAAGAGAUCGAAAGCUGAAACAAGGUAUUGCAAAAAGGGUUAAUGGAUGAGAAGAAAUAAUAUGCAAAUAUGGGCAAAUGUAAGAAGAUUGAAUCAGAUUUAAUGGAAGCGAGUUGCAGAGCCUGAAAAGUGAAAUAGAGAAGAAAGUAGAAACACCAAACGCAGAAGCCAUAGAAGUUGAGCUAAGCAGAGUGAAGGUUUAGUUUGAGAAAUGGAGGAAAGCGGCUGAGACGGAAACUUCUCAUUACAUUCUGCUUUGGUCGGCGACGUGGGACUGCAGUCUAGAAGGGUGAGCCCGAUCUUGGGACAGUACAUUAACAAGUUUGUAUAUAUUGGUAGCUAAUUUUAAUAUAAUCCUUAUUCAACAUAUCUUGUGUUCUUUUAAGCAAAUUGAUUGUUGUUA